GUAGGGAAUAUUGGACAAUGGGGGGAACCCUGAUCCAGCCAUGCCGCGUGGAGGAAGACUGCCCUCUGGGUUGUAAACUCCUUUUAUAUGGGAAGAACCGUCCUCAUUAAUGAGUGACCUGACGGUACCAUAGGCAUAAGCACCGGCUAACUCCGUGCCAGCAGCCGCGGUAAUACGGAGGGUGCAACCGUUAUCCGGAUUCACUGUGUUUAAAGGGUGCGUAGGCGGAUAAAUAAGUCAGUGGUGACAUCAACGUGCUCAACCUGUUAACUGCCAGUGAUACUGUGUAGCUUGAAUAGUAGAGAGGUAGGCGGAAUGUUGCAUGUAGCGGUGAAAUGCUUAGAUAUGCUACGGAACACCGAUUGCGAAGGCAGCUUACUAUUUCGUAAUUGACGCUGAGGCACGAAAGCGUGGGUAGCGAACAGGAUUAGAAACCCCGGUAGUCC
RNAcentral lists this ribosomal RNA (446 nucleotides) under uncultured bacterium. RNAcentral describes it as "partial 16S ribosomal RNA". It matches the Rfam family "Bacterial small subunit ribosomal RNA", at positions 354 to 796 of the family's 1533-position model. The record is from RNAcentral.